UACGAAGGGGCCGAGCGUUGUUCGGAAUUACUGGGCGUAAAGGGCUCGUAGGCGGCCAACUAAGUCACACGUGAAAUCCCCAGGCUUAACCUGGGAACUGCGUGUGAUACUGGAUGGCUUGAAUCCGGGAGAGGGAUGCAGAAUUCCAGGUGUAGCGGUGAAAUGCGUAGAUAUCUGGAGGAAUACCGGUGGCGAAGGCGGCAUCCUGGACCGGCAUUGACGCUGAUGAGCGAAAGCUAGGGGAGCAAACGGG
Molecule: ribosomal RNA, 253 nt
Filed under: uncultured bacterium
Lineage: Bacteria
Description: partial 16S ribosomal RNA
Rfam family: Bacterial small subunit ribosomal RNA
Source: RNAcentral